RNAcentral lists this ribosomal RNA (539 nucleotides) under uncultured bacterium. Its description in RNAcentral is "bacterial LSU rRNA". It matches the Rfam family "Bacterial large subunit ribosomal RNA", at positions 2155 to 2716 of the family's 2925-position model. The record is from RNAcentral.
UUAUGAUCCCUUUUUAUAGGUUAGACAUCAGUGAAAUAGCAGUCUUUCAAAUCUUGAUAGCUAACUUUUUGUAGAAAAUAUAUGAUGGGUAGUUUAGCUGGGGCGGCUUCCUCCUAAAAGGUAACGGAGGAGUACACAAGGUAAUUUCUAACUGAUUUUUAUCAGUUUGAGAGUAUAAUGGCUUAAAAUUACUUUACUGUUAGAUUUACGAAUCGAACAGUGAUUAACGUCAGUCAUAAUGAUCCGGUGACUUUGUGUGGAAAAGUCAUCGCCAACGGAUAAAAGGUACGCCAGGGAUAACAGGCUGAUGACUCUUGAGAGACCAUAUCAAUGGGGUAGUUUGGCACCUCGAUGUCGACUCAUCGCAUCCUGGAGGUGUAGAAGUUUCCAAGGGUUGGGCUGUUCGCCCACUAAAGCGGUACGUGAGUUGGGUUUAGAACGCCGUGAGGCAGUUCGGUUCCUAUCUACCAUAUAUCGAAGAAAAUAAAUAAGGGCUGACCUUAGUACGAGAGGAGCGGGGAGGAAAUGCCUAUAGUGUA